Molecule: ribosomal RNA, 460 nt
Filed under: uncultured bacterium
Lineage: Bacteria
Description: partial 16S ribosomal RNA
Rfam family: Bacterial small subunit ribosomal RNA
Source: RNAcentral
CCUACGGGAGGCAGCAGUGAGGAAUAUUGGUCAAUGGGCGAUAGCCUGAACCAGCCAAGUAGCGUGAAGGAUGACUGCCCUAUGGGUUGUAAACUUCUUUUAUAUGGGAGUAAAAUGCAGUAUGUAUACUGCGUUGCAGUUACCGUAUGAAUAAGGAUCGGCUAACGCCGUGCCAGCAGCCGCGGUAAUACGGAGGAUCCGAGCGUUAUCCGGAUUUAUUGGGUUUAAAGGGAGGGUAGGCGGGUUGUUAAGUCAGUUGUGAAGGUUUGGGGCUCAACCGUAAAAUUGCAGUUGAUACUGGGAUCCUUGAGUACAGGAGAGGUAGGCGGAAUUCGUGGUGUAGCGGUGAAAUGCUUAGAUAUCACGAAGAACUCCGAUUGCGAAGGCAGCCUGCUGGACUGUAACUGACGCUGAUGCUCGAAAGUGUGGGUAUCAAACAGGAUUAGAUACCCGAGUAGUC